UACGUAGGCAGCAAGCGUUGUUCGGAAUUACUGGGCGUAAAGGGCGCGCAGGCGGCUCUGAAAGUCAGAUGUGAAAGCCCCGGGCUUAACCUGGGAACUGCAUUUGAUACUCUGGAGCUUGAGUACGGGAGAGGAUAGUGGAAUUCCCAGUGUAGAGGUGAAAUUCGUAGAUAUUGGGAAGAACACCGGUGGCGAAGGCAGCUCUCUGGGACGGUACUGACGCUGAGACGCGAAAGCGUGGGGAGCGAACAGG
Molecule: ribosomal RNA, 253 nt
Filed under: uncultured bacterium
Lineage: Bacteria
Description: partial 16S ribosomal RNA
Rfam family: Bacterial small subunit ribosomal RNA
Source: RNAcentral